GAUUAGAUACCCUGGUAGUCCACGCCGUAAACGAUGAGUGCUAAGUGUUAGAGGGUUUCCGCCCUUUAGUGCUGAAGUUAACGCAUUAAGCACUCCGCCUGGGGAGUACGGCCGCAAGGCUGAAACUCAAAGGAAUUGACGGGGGCCCGCACAAGCGGUGGAGCAUGUGGUUUAAUUCGAAGCAACGCGAAGAACCUUACCAGGUCUUGACAUCCUCUGACAACCCUAGAGAUAGGGCUUCUCCUUCGGGAGCAGAGUGACAGGUGGUGCAUGGUUGUCGUCAGCUCGUGUCGUGAGAUGUUGGGUUAAGUCCCGCAACGAGCGCAACCCUUGAUCUUAGUUGCCAUCAUUUAGUUGGGCACUCUAAGGUGACUGCCGGUGACAAACCGGAGGAAGGUGGGGAUGACGUCAAAUCAUCAUGCCCCUUAUGACCUGGGCUACACACGUGCUACAAUGGACGGUACAAAGAGCUGCAAGACCGCGAGGUGGAGCUAAUCUCAUAAAACCGUUCUCAGUUCGGAUUGUAGGCUGCAACUCGCCUACAUGAAGCUGGAAUCGCUAGUAAUCGCGGACCAGCAUGCCGCGGUGAAUACGUUCCCGGGCCUUGUACACACCGCCCGUCACACCACGAGAGUUUGUAACACCCGAAGUCGGUGGGGUAACCUUUUUGGAGCCAGCCGCCUAAGGUGGGACAGAUGAUUGGGGUGAAGUCGUAACAAGG
RNAcentral lists this ribosomal RNA (721 nucleotides) under uncultured bacterium. RNAcentral's name for it is "bacterial SSU rRNA". It matches the Rfam family "Bacterial small subunit ribosomal RNA", at positions 776 to 1496 of the family's 1533-position model. The record is from RNAcentral.